RNAcentral lists this ribosomal RNA (644 nucleotides) under uncultured Trichoderma. RNAcentral describes it as "eukaryotic LSU rRNA". The stretch from base 257 to 410 matches the Rfam family "5.8S ribosomal RNA". The record is from RNAcentral. Lineage: Eukaryota; Fungi; Ascomycota; Sordariomycetes; Hypocreales; Hypocreaceae.
CAAACUUGGUCAUUUAGAGGAAGUAAAAGUCGUAACAAGGUCUCCGUUGGUGAACCAGCGGAGGGAUCAUUACCGAGUUUACAACUCCCAAACCCAAUGUGAACGUUACCAAACUGUUGCCUCGGCGGGGUCACGCCCCGGGUGCGUCGCAGCCCCGGAACCAGGCGCCCGCCGGAGGAACCAACCAAACUCUUUCUGUAGUCCCCUCGCGGACGUAUUUCUUUACAGCUCUGAGCAAAAAUUCAAAAUGAAUCAAAACUUUCAACAACGGAUCUCUUGGUUCUGGCAUCGAUGAAGAACGCAGCGAAAUGCGAUAAGUAAUGUGAAUUGCAGAAUUCAGUGAAUCAUCGAAUCUUUGAACGCACAUUGCGCCCGCCAGUAUUCUGGCGGGCAUGCCUGUCCGAGCGUCAUUUCAACCCUCGAACCCCUCCGGGGGAUCGGCGUUGGGGAUCGGGACCCCUCACACGGGUGCCGGCCCCUAAAUACAGUGGCGGUCUCGCCGCAGCCUCUCCUGCGCAGUAGUUUGCACAACUCGCACCGGGAGCGCGGCGCGUCCACGUCCGUAAAACACCCAACUUUCUGAAAUGUUGACCUCGGAUCAGGUAGGAAUACCCGCUGAACUUAAGCAUAUCAAUAAGCGGAGG